CCACGGCAGGCCCAGGAAAGGGGACCCGGGAACUUUGAAGAUUCCAUGGAGUUUCACAAAACCAGGUUUUGCGUCAGAAGGUUGAGUUCUGAUCCUGAUUCUGCUGUGUGGUUCUCUGGGUUUUAGCCUCUCAUCUAUAAAAUGAGGAAAAGGUGAAUUUGGCCUUGCCGCCCUCUCAAGGUCGUUUUCUCCUGCCUCAGGGCCUUUGCACAGGCUCUUCCCUCUGCUAAAAUGCUCUUCCCCCGUCCCUUUCCUUUUUACCUAAUGGACUCCAUGCCUCUUUCAGGUCUCAGUCCAUCACCACACCUGCUAACCAGGUAGAUUUCCCAUUAUCCACUCUCAUAGGCCUACACAGAGCUGCAUUCCUCCCUUUGGCCGCUGAUCAGUUGUCAGCUGGCCUUUGUUUGUGGGAUCCUUGGACCAGCGACAUCCUCAUUUGCCCUGAUGAAGGUGGGCACUUUGCUGUCUUCUCUGUGGCUCUCUCCCCAGCCUGCAGCAGAGUGCUUGGCCUAUAUUUUUGUUGCCGAAUGACUGUUCAAAUAAGAUAACGUAGGUGAAGACCCUUGUGUGUGAAAAACACUAAACAAGGAGUUUCCGUCAUGGUGCAGUGGAAACGAAUCCGACUAGGAACAUGAGGUUGCAGGGAUCUAACCUGCAUGCUCAUGGAUGCUAGUCAGAUUCGUUUCCACUGCGCCACAAUGAUAAAAUCCUCCACCCAUUCAGCAUACAAUCCUCAUUAAAAAAAAAAAAAUACAGGAGUUCCCAUUGUGACUCACUAGGUUAAGAACCUUACAUAGUGUCUGUGAGGAUGCAGGUUCAAAAUCUGGCCUCGCUCAGUAAGUUAAGGAUCUGGCGUAGGUCACAGGUGAAGCUCGGAUCUGGCAUUGCUGUGGCUGUGGUGUAGGCCGGCAGCUGCAGCUCUGAUUCAACCUCUAACCUGGGAACGUCCAUAUGCUACAGGUGCAGCCCUAAAAAGAAAAAAAAAUAACACAGCUCUCUGAGGGCACGGGUGGAAUGGUCAGGGGCCCUUUCUAAUCACAGAUCCCAGAGGGCAAAGGAAAUGCCAGGCAAGGAAUACAUCUCUGCAAAGGGCUGCCGUUUACUCGGAACACUGAGGAUGCCAGUGAGACCCUCCUUUCCCGGGCUCCUCCCCAGAUCAGAAGAGCACAGACAGAGGGACCGCUGAAAUGCCUGCAAGUCUUUGGAAUUUAUAGAGAAACCAAAAUCAAUGGCACCCGGAUUUUAUUCUAAUGAUCUGCGUCCCAUUUGUUGGGAAGAACUUGUUUUCACAGCAAAAUCUUUCUCUGUGCUCUUGAGCAGGAUGAGAGGAGCCGGUGAAAUCGCACGCUGGGAAAUGGGUCUGUGAAGACGUGGUCUCUGCUCGGGACAGGCAGUGUGGCGGCCAGGCCGUCUCCCCAUUGCCGCUGGUGAGCUUUUCCUCAUCACGGCCUCCUGUCUCUUUAAAGAGCAUUAUAGAGGAGUCCCCGUUGUGGCUCAAUGGGUUAAGAAUCCAACUAGUAACCAUGAGGAUGCAGGUUCAGUCCUUGGCCCUGCUCAGUGGGUUAAGGAUCAAGUGUUGCAUAAGCUGUAGCAUAGGUCACAGGUAUGGCUUGGAUCCGGCGUGGCUGUGGCUGGUGACUAUGGCUCCAAUUGGAGCCUGGGAACCCCUAAAAAGCACCCCCCCAAAAGCAUAAUAGAGACAGAUCUGCUCUCAAGAUUGCCUUUGAAAGUGGCUCCGGCAUCUCACGUAGCACCCCGAAAGAUAGAGUAUUUUGUGAAUGACCUGCUGGAUUUGGCUCUCCUGGGACUUCUCUGGCUUCUAGGAAUAAUGCAUACCCAGUUUUCUUACCAGCUUGGGGAGCGCUGAUUAAUGGUGCAGCGAUGCUCAUCGGAGGCAGGUGCUUUUUCACUGCCACGGAGGGCCCUGAUGGAUGGCACACCCUCUUCCCUGGCUGGGGCGGCCUCCACUGUGGCUCCCUCUCCCCACUCCAAGCCUAUUCAUCACAGUAGCUACUGUGUCCCAGAUGCUGGCUGCAUUUGAGGCACCACUCAUGUGUCUGUACGCCUGUAAGUUUUGUAAUCACCACAGGGAAAGCACUAUUACUAUUGUCUAUUUUGUAGUUGAGGAUAAUAAGGUCUGGUGAGGUUCAGGAACUCCCCCAGGCCUUGCACCACCAGUAUGAGGUGGCAAAUUCAGGUUGGUACAGUCUCAGUACCAUGCUAUUUUGCUGCAGCAGUCUGCUUUGGUGAGCAGAUCUUUGGAGUGAUGUAGACAAAGUGCUGGUUUGAUUGGCACCUUAGCAGGCACCUCUGUCUGGGCCAUGGUGUACAGUUGGCUGGGUUGUGCACUGCACAACCCCAGAGGAUACCAAUCACAGUGUACUUCUGGGCGAAUGACACGCUCUAGAAUUGUGCGGUGCACAAGCUGAAAAUCCAGAAUGGCAGCCCUGGGAUUCUAAUUGUUUUCAGCUGUUUACUCAUGGCUUGGGAGACCUUUGAAGCUGUGUUCAUGACCAUUGCCUGGCCAUGGCUACCUCUGUGAAAUGAGUGAAUCCACUUAAUGAAACAUGCUGCUUUCUUCUUCCCAGAGAACUCAUGCCUUACCAGCCUGGCCCCAGACAAUCUCAGAUGGGGCUGCUCCUCCACCCUGUUGGUCCUGGGCCACCCCAGCCAGCAUCCUGGACCUCUCAGGCCACAGCCACCUAAAGCCCAACAUUCAGACUUCAGUAUCCUAAGGACUGCUGUGAGGUGGAAGAAACCAAGUGUCUGUCCCAGCCAGGAGCACCAGCAUCUUCACUUUUAAAUUAAAAAAAAAAAAAAA
Molecule: long non-coding RNA, 2821 nt
Filed under: Sus scrofa (pig)
Lineage: Eukaryota; Metazoa; Chordata; Mammalia; Artiodactyla; Suidae
Description: lncRNA (ENSSSCG00045029867.1)
Source: RNAcentral